AACGGUUCCUGGCUUGGGGCAUGUAUAUUUUAUAGUUGCUGUAAAGUGUAAGGGUUGGACAUUUUUUAUGCUGUAUCCUCCCUAUUAAUUCUCUAUCAUAAAAUGAUAGUAUUGAUCCAAAGCUAUGUACUGAUAUAUUUGAUAUAGGUAGGACUUAUAAAAAAUAGACAAGGAAAUUCGAUUAAAUUUACAAUACGACCGACACGAGUUAAAAAAGACAAACAAGCAGUUUUUAUCCAAAUGUUUGAUUGAUAUGUUUCACCCAACAUAACUUAGAGAACCGAAGUGAGGGGUUCCAAAUUCACCAAAGAUUACGAAAGUGUCUGAAAUGACAACGAAGUUAGAAUGAAGGUCGACAAAUGGAGACCUAAAGUUUACACCCAGCAGGCAGGUUACAGUCUGGUCUGGAAAAAGUAUUCAAUAUAUAUAAGUCCGGCGAAACAGACAUUCCAGUCAGACAUGCAAACCCCGGCCACAAAAAAACUACGCCCGUUUUUAUUCAUCAUGUUCAUUUCAUGCUAAAUAAUUUUGUUGCAAAUUUUCGUUUUUAAUAGCAAAAAAGUGGACAAGACUAUUGUUUUCAAUCCAGAUACGGC
RNAcentral lists this long non-coding RNA (596 nucleotides) under Mytilus galloprovincialis (Mediterranean mussel). The record is from RNAcentral. Lineage: Eukaryota; Metazoa; Mollusca; Bivalvia; Mytilida; Mytilidae.